This is a long non-coding RNA of Leptidea sinapis, 245 nucleotides long. RefSeq lists it as uncharacterized. The record is from RefSeq and is a predicted model, not a curated record. NCBI's taxonomy places the organism in Eukaryota, Metazoa, Arthropoda, Insecta, Lepidoptera, Pieridae. The transcript has 3 exons.
AGAAACCGCAAUGUAACUUAGCUCAGAAGUGAUAACCAUGCCGCCUAGAUGGCGCUGUUCACAAAAAUUUGACGAUGGUACUGUAUCCACUGGGAAUCCAUAAGUUCAUCUACUCACCGCAAGGUGGCAGUAGCAGUACUUACGAGAUGGAGUGAUUGAUUUCUCGCAUCAAGUGCAGGACACAGACCACGAGGAAGUGGACAAGAUAAAAGAUGUUGGAGUAUUUUUUGAUCGCAAGGUAAUAU